UGAUAAUUUACAAAUAGUUGAAUAUAGUAUAAGAUUCAUUUCUGUUUCAUUAUGUGAAAUAAAUACUUUUGAUUUUUAAUAAUAAUAAAAAACUUCAUUCAAUAAAUAACCAGCCUAGUUUGUGUAAACAACAAAUAGAUUGAAAGGCAUUAUAAAAUGCUAAUCCACUGCAAUGACUUGACCUCACUUUACUCCAACCUGAGCAGUUUGUUGAAAAUAAAUGCUGGUCUCUUGCAAUGACUUAAAUAUGACCCCCCACUUCCCUCAACCAAGCAACUAUGUGUUGAAAAUUAAUCUAUUAUGUAAUAAACUUACUAAUUACAUUCUUAAUUCCAUAAGUUUAUUACUACUGUGGUACACAUCAGUCAAUAAACUAAUAAUACUUGCAGGAGACUGCCAUUUUCAUCCCUAUUUUGGGAUUUUUGUAUAUUUAUAUAAUCAUAUUUAAUUCCUCACAUUAUCAUAUAUAUCUUUUCUCAUUUUUUCAUAAAAUUAUCAUACAAUAUAAUUUUUUUAACAUUUAGCAAUUUUGUAUCCAUUAUUGAAGCAUUGCAACGGUG
This 560-nucleotide long non-coding RNA is filed under the name Androctonus crassicauda. The record is from RNAcentral. Lineage: Eukaryota; Metazoa; Arthropoda; Arachnida; Scorpiones; Buthidae.